This 1638-nucleotide ribosomal RNA is filed under the name Triticum aestivum (bread wheat). RNAcentral describes it as "partial small subunit ribosomal RNA". Lineage: Eukaryota; Viridiplantae; Streptophyta; Magnoliopsida; Poales; Poaceae. The record is from RNAcentral.
AUGUAUCUUAAUCAUACACAGCCAUUGUUUAAUCAGAUCUUAUCCAUGGAUGAACCGCGGAAAACUCUGUAUUCUUUGGACGCGCAUCCGACCAAGCCAUGGAUUAUAACUGGUCAUGCCUGUGGACAUGUUCGCAUUUGGAACCAUGAGACACAGUGCCUAGUGGAUUCAUUUAAAGUCUCGCGGGGAUCAGUUUAUUCUGUUAAAUUUAUUGUGCGGAAGCAGUGGUUCAUCUCUGGUUCAGCAGAAGGUCUCAUACAUGUUUACAGUUAUGAAACAAAAAUGCAAAAGAUCACGAGUUUCAGAGCUCAUGAUGGCCUCAUGUCGCUGGCUGUUCAUCCCACUCAACCGUAUGUGCUGUCAUCGCCUUGUUCGCGUCACCACGAGAAGAAACUUUGGGACUGGGAGAAGGGAUGGGACUGCACACAAACAUUUGAGAGGGAAUACUUUGAAAGGGAUUUUCUAUGCCAAGUCGCUUUUGACCCCAAGGAGACCAACCGUUUUGCUAGUACUUCGGAUCACACAGUGAAGGUUUGGAGCCUUGAUUCUCCCAAAUCUAACUAUAAUCUGCCUGGGCAUUUUAACGAAGUGAACUUCCUGGAAUUCUUCACACGUGAUGAACUGCUGUAUCUGAUUACUGGCUCUCAUGACAUGGCUGCAAUGAUAUGGGACAUGCAGAAGAAGAAAUAUGUUACCAAUAUGCCGCAAACUUUGAUGUCUCCUGUAGAUUCUGUCUUCUCACAUCCCAAACUACCAAUACUACUUACAUGUUCAUCUGACGGCACUUCUCAUUUCUGGAGCUCCAAAGAUUUUAGGCUUGAGGGAGUCCUUGACUAUGGUUAUGGAGGAAAUGUAAGGGGCGUUGCGUGUUUGAUGGGAUCGAAAGGAAGGUUUGUGAUUGCGCAAGAAGCUGCAUUAACAAUCCUGGAUAUUGAUAAUGAGAAAUAUCAGGAGUCAAGGGAAUCUAGUGAGCCACAGUUACGUGCUGAUACAAGACCAGAAGACACAUAUUCUGAGAUGAUAACCCAAGUGUCAAACGAGCUUCUUCGUGUCCACCCGCUGAAGCUCCACUUCCCCUUCCGAUCCCACAAGUUGAUCCCAUGCUCACUGCACCUAACAAAUAACACGGAUAAACAUGUGGCAUUUAGACUUAGUACAGAAGAGGGAUUGGUGUGGUGGCAGCAGCCCUUCACAAGGAUGCCCCUAAGCGGAAUUGUGCCGUCGAGAUCUACUUACACUCUCAUUAUAACGAUGAGAGAGCUUCCGAAACUGCUACAAGAACAAAACAUUAAUCUGAUUCUGCAGAGCAGUAUAUCUGGGGAUAAGUACAUCUAUACGUUCAUAGACCAAACCGAAUGUGAUCUAUUUUUUGAGGAUGCCAAAGAUACAGGGAAUGUAGUGCAUGAGGUGAAAUUGAAAGCUGUUUCGUCUCUGCAAGGACAGGCAAUGUCUGAGAAUGGAUCGACUGUAGAAGACGCAAUCCAACCUUUAAUAAACAUAUGGGGUUUGUUCCACCCUGCCAAGGACUUUUCUGGUGUGCUGUGUUCACUAGAUGCUGAUCCGACUGAGUCAUGGAUUAUAACAGGUCAUCGCCAUGGAGAUGUUUCUAUAUGGAAGUGUGGCACACAGGCACGUUAA